GCAUUGGUGGUAUAGUGGCAGCAUAGCUGCCUUCUAAGCAGGAGACACUGGGUAGAUUCCAUGCCGCCAAUGCA
Molecule: transfer RNA, 74 nt
Filed under: Anguilla anguilla (European eel)
Lineage: Eukaryota; Metazoa; Chordata; Actinopteri; Anguilliformes; Anguillidae
Description: tRNA-Arg
Source: RNAcentral